Molecule: long non-coding RNA, 565 nt
Filed under: Vigna radiata
Lineage: Eukaryota; Viridiplantae; Streptophyta; Magnoliopsida; Fabales; Fabaceae
Description: long non-coding RNA (VRAD_LNC012373)
Source: RNAcentral
ACAACACAAAGAAAGCAAAUUUUAAUCAGUUGAACCAGAAGAUAAUCGAUGAAAGACUAAACAAACGGUAAGCAUAAAAAAAAAUCACGCACCUGGGAUGCAAUGUCGCAAGAGAGAAAAAGAGAGGAGGAAAACGAUAAAGAUAUCAAAAACAACAAUAGAAUGCCGCAACAAAAAGAGGACGUGCCGAAAGGGAGAAAAAGAAUAGUGUCGCGAGAGAAAAAGGAGAAGAGGAAGAGGAAGAUAUCAGAAACUGAAUGUCGCGAAGAGUUUGCGGUCUAUUUAAAAUGAAACUGGGCGUCGGUUUCUCCAGAUAGCCGACGUCUAUGUCAGUUCUGUUACUAAUUCGACGUCCAAGUUAACUUUUCAACUGACCUUUUGAAUCCCACUAGACGUUGGUAACAAUGGAAACCGACGUCUAGGAAGCUGAAACAAUUGACAUUUGAUUUCCUGUUAGAGAUGUUGACGACAGUUGUGAUGGGGCGCCGACGUCUAUAAUGAUGCACAUCAUUACUUACAGGCACAUAGACGUCGGUGCCCCUUCUAUCCAACGUCUAUGGCCCUC